UCUGGUAAUGAUGGCAGAGAGGUCACACCCGUUCCCAUACCGAACACGGAAGUUAAGCUCUCU
This 63-nucleotide ribosomal RNA is filed under the name Bacillus anthracis (anthrax bacterium). The record is from RNAcentral. RNAcentral also lists the same sequence under 1 other name. Lineage: Bacteria; Bacillati; Bacillota; Bacilli; Caryophanales; Bacillaceae.